RNAcentral lists this ribosomal RNA (776 nucleotides) under uncultured Neocallimastigales. RNAcentral's name for it is "partial large subunit ribosomal RNA". It matches the Rfam family "Eukaryotic large subunit ribosomal RNA", at positions 23 to 634 of the family's 3401-position model. The record is from RNAcentral. Lineage: Eukaryota; Fungi; Neocallimastigomycota; Neocallimastigomycetes; Neocallimastigales.
AGAGAGAGACAUGCGCGCAUAUCAAUAAGCGGAGGAAAAGAAACUAACAAGGGAUUCCCUUAGUAACGGCGAGUGAAGCGGGAAGAGCUCAAAUUUGAAAUCUUCAAGGUUUUACCUUGACGAAUUGUAGUUUAAAGAAGUGUUUUCUGCUGAAGUUUUGGUAAAAGUUCUUCGGAAUAGGGACAUCAUAGAGGGUGAGAAUCCCGUAUUUGACCAUUAUUUUCAGCUUUGUGAUACACUUUCAAAGAGUCGGAUUGUUUGGGAAUGCAGUCCAAAAUGGGUGGUAAAUUUCAUCUAAAGCUAAAUAUUGGCGAGAGACCGAUAGCGAACAAGUACCGUGAGGGAAAGAUGAAAAGAACUUUGAAAAGAGAGUUAAACAGUACGUGAAAUUGUCAAAAGGGAAGCGUUUGACACCAGUGUUGUUUUCUCGAAAAUCAAUUAAAAAUGGCUCGAUUUUGUAUUGUUGAGACCUUAAAAGCUCACUGUACAUUUUUCGUGUCUUUUUUAAUGCACUUUUCGUUUAACAAGUCAACAUCAGUUUCUUUUGUUGUAAAAGGGUCAUUGGAAGGUGGCUUUCUUUUCGGAGAAAGUGUUUAUAGCCUUUGGCCUCUGCAAUCGGAGAGACUGAGGUCUGCAGCGUAGACUCUUCGGGGUUAGAUACAUUUGUGCUAAGUUAUAGCUUUUUAUAGACAACUUGUUGACUAUAAUUAGUCUUGUAGCUUACUCGCUUAUGCUAUUUUACCUACGCUUAGGAUGUUGAAGAUGUAGCACAUCAU